Molecule: ribosomal RNA, 493 nt
Filed under: uncultured bacterium
Lineage: Bacteria
Description: partial 16S ribosomal RNA
Rfam family: Bacterial small subunit ribosomal RNA
Source: RNAcentral
ACGCACGCUGGCGGCGUGCUUAACACAUGCCAGUCGAACGGUGAAGCGCCUUCCUUUUUGGUGGGUGUGGAUGAGUGGCGAACGGGUGAGUAACACGUGAGUAACCUGCCCCCUUCUUCUGGAUAACCGCAUGAAAGUGUGGCUAAUACGGGAUAUUCUGGUUCUGUCGCAUGAUGGGUCUGGGAAGGAUAUUGUUUCGGUGGGGGAGGGGCUCGCGGCCUAUCAGCUUGUUGGUGGGGUGAUGGCCUACCAAGGCGGUGACGGGUAGCCGGCCUGGGAGGGUGGACGGUCACACUGGGACUGAGACACGGCCCAGACUCCUACGGGAGGCAGCAGUGGGGAAUAUUGCACAAUGUGCGCAAGCCUGAUGCAGCGACGCCGCGUGAGGGAUGGAGGCCUUCGGGUUGUGAACCUCUUUCGCCAGUGAAGCAGGCCUGCCUCGUUUGUGGGUGGGUUGACGGUAGCUGGAGAAGAAGCGCCGGCUAACUACGUG